AGUACGAGCUCUUCAAGAAAGACUCCGCAAACUUGUUGAUUCUCAGGACUCUGCAACUUCAUCAACUCUUGAAAAGGCUCCUCCUUCUAUUGAUAAAUCCAAAUGCCCCAAAUAGCUCAUCUGUCCUUGCCAUUUCCUCUAAGAAACAAGUGUCUUAAAGUCUGAAUGUAAAUCUCCUCUCCCAAAUAGCUCAUCUACUUCAAUAUUUUCCUUUCAGAUACUAGAGAAGUGUUCAAGCUGUUAUCAAAUUUACAGCUUUUGGCCCUUCAUGCGGUAGAGCAAAAUCUGUAGUUAACUAGAUUAGUGAGUUAUUUAGGUUUUAUUGUUUCAGUUAUUGAUGGCAUUGUGAU
RNAcentral lists this unclassified non-coding RNA (350 nucleotides) under Hevea brasiliensis (rubber tree). Lineage: Eukaryota; Viridiplantae; Streptophyta; Magnoliopsida; Malpighiales; Euphorbiaceae. The record is from RNAcentral.